RNAcentral lists this ribosomal RNA (363 nucleotides) under Bacillus subtilis. Its description in RNAcentral is "bacterial SSU rRNA". It matches the Rfam family "Bacterial small subunit ribosomal RNA", at positions 973 to 1337 of the family's 1533-position model. The record is from RNAcentral. Lineage: Bacteria; Bacillati; Bacillota; Bacilli; Caryophanales; Bacillaceae.
ACCAGGUCUUGACAUCCUCUGACAAUCCUAGAGAUAGGACGUCCCCUUCGGGGGCAGAGUGACAGGUGGUGCAUGGUUGUCGUCAGCUCGUGUCGUGAGAUGUUGGGUUAAGUCCCGCAACGAGCGCAACCCUUGAUCUUAGUUGCCAGCAUUCAGUUGGGCACUCUAAGGUGACUGCCGGUGACAAACCGGAGGAAGGUGGGGAUGACGUCAAAUCAUCAUGCCCCUUAUGACCUGGGCUACACACGUGCUACAAUGGACAGAACAAAGGGCAGCGAAACCGCGAGGUUAAGCCAAUCCCACAAAUCUGUUCUCAGUUCGGAUCGCAGUCUGCAACUCGACUGCGUGAAGCUGGAAUCGCUA